GUGGUUCUCCGUUACUGGGAACUUCAUAUCGGAUCCGAUCAAUUUAUUGGUUCCAUUCCCCCUAGUAUAAAUGAUCCAUUUGCAGUGACGAUGACAAUCAUAGUUUAGGGCAAGAAAUAUAGAAGAUAAAGAAAAAUAUAAACAAUUACGACUGUACAGUAGAAAUGAUCGGCAAAACAAGAUAAACAGAAGACAACAAGGCCUAAAUGGUGAGACUUCUUGGUUUUCAUGAUCAUCAACAGGUCAAUACAGAAGAGGAAACUUAAGGUUAAUACUUAUCUACAUUGUGUGCUAAUUGGAUUAAUGUGAAAUGAAAUGUGGGCUUACCUGGAAAAAGAAAAUAGGAAAUUUCUACAAAAUGGCUGUAAACAAAAUGGAGUACAAUCAUAGAUGCACAAGAACACAAUUGUGUAAUUGCAACAACCUAAAUAUUCACUGAAGGAUUAUGGAGAAAUGUAGAAAAAAUAGUAUUUUGUUGUCGAAAUAAACACCUGCUUUAUCCAUUCAUGUACAUAGCUCUGUCAUAUCAAAUAUACAGAGGAAGAUGUUUGAAGAACAAAUUGCAAAAAUGUAUUCUCUACCAAUUGAAGGAAGAUGUCUGGUGGAUGGAAUUAUUUAUGCACUGAACUGUUAUGUAGGGGAUUGAAUAAUUGUACGCAGCAGCUUAAACAGAAGAAAAGUUAAAUUAACAUGAAAAGUGUUUAUUUUAUUUAAUCUGCAAAUAUGAGCACAAUAUUAAUAACAUCACAAAUAGUAUGAUAUUCAUAGCGUUUUGCUUAUUAUUGUAUUGUCUCAAACAGCUAGCCUAUUGUUUUUGUAUGUCAUGUUACUCAUCAGUGAACAUUUUAUUAAAGUUUUAAUUAUC
Mytilus californianus (California mussel) is the source of this 865-nucleotide long non-coding RNA. RefSeq lists it as uncharacterized. Lineage: Eukaryota; Metazoa; Mollusca; Bivalvia; Mytilida; Mytilidae. The record is from RefSeq and is a predicted model, not a curated record. The transcript is spliced from 3 exons.